UAACAUGGCUAUGUCUUUGCGGUGUCCC
This 28-nucleotide non-coding RNA is filed under the name Rattus norvegicus (Norway rat). Lineage: Eukaryota; Metazoa; Chordata; Mammalia; Rodentia; Muridae. The record is from RNAcentral.